Molecule: unclassified non-coding RNA, 345 nt
Filed under: soil metagenome
Description: partial contains 5.8S ribosomal RNA, internal transcribed spacer 2, and large subunit ribosomal RNA
Rfam family: 5.8S ribosomal RNA (bases 1-120)
Source: RNAcentral
GAUGAAGAACGCAGCGAAAUGCGAUACGUAAUGUGAAUUGCAGAAUUCAGUGAAUCAUCGAGUCUUUGAACGCACAUUGCGCCCGCCAGUAUUCUGGCGGGCAUGCCUGUCCGAGCGUCAUUUCAACCCUCAAGCCCCCGGGCUUGGUGUUGGAGAUCGGCGAGCCCCCCGGGGCGCGCCGUCUCCCAAAUAUAGUGGCGGUCCCGCUGUAGCUUCCUCUGCGUAGUAGCACACCUCGCACUGGGAAACAGCGUGGCCACGCCGUAAAACCCCCCACUUCUGAAAGGUUGACCUCGGAUCAGGUAGGAAUACCCGCUGAACUUAAGCAUAUCAAUAAGCGGAGGA